GAUGAACGCUAGCUACAGGCCUAACACAUGCAAGUCGAGGGGCAGCAGGGGUAGCAAUACCCGCUGGCGACCGGCGUACGGGUGCGUAACACGUGUGUAACCUACCUUCAACAGAUGGAUAACCCGUUGAAAGACGGACUAAUACAUCAUAACACAGGGCUACCGCAUGGUAAUAUUUGUUAAAGAUUAAUCGGUUGAAGAUGGGCACGCGCAACAUUAGAUAGUUGGUAAGGUAACGGCUUACCAAGUCGGCGAUGUUUAGGGGUUCUGAGAGGAAGGUCCCCCACACUGGAACUGAGACACGGUCCAGACUCCUACGGGAGGCAGCAGUGAGGAAUAUUGGUCAAUGAGCGAGAGCUUGAACCAGCCAAGUAGCGUGAAGGAAGACGGUCCUAUGGAUUGUAAACUUCUUUUGUAGAGGGGUAAAGUGCAUCACGUGUGAUGUAUUGCAAGUACUCUACGAAUAAGCAUCGGCUAACUCCGUGCCAGCAGCCGCGGUAAUACGGAGGAUGCGAGCGUUAUCCGGAUUUAUUGGGUUUAAAGGGUGCGUAGGCGGGCUGAUAAGUCAGCGGUGAAAGUUUGCAGCUUAACUGUAAAAUUGCCGUUGAAACUGUUGGUCUUGAGUGCAAAUGCGGUAUGCGGAAUGUGUAGUGUAGCGGUGAAAUGCAUAGAUAUUGCACAGAACACCGAUUGCGAAGGCAGCAUACUGGGCUGCAACUGACGCUGAGGCACGAAAGUGCGGGUAUCAGACAGGAUUAGAUACCCUGGUAGUCCGCACAGUAAACGAUGAUUACUGACUGUUUGCGAUACACAGUAAGCGGUUAAGCGAAAGCGUUAAGUAAUCCACCUGGGGGAGUACGUCGGCAACGAUGAAACUCAAAGGAAUUGACGGGGGCCCGC
Molecule: ribosomal RNA, 900 nt
Filed under: uncultured Bacteroidota bacterium
Lineage: Bacteria; Pseudomonadati; Bacteroidota
Description: bacterial SSU rRNA
Rfam family: Bacterial small subunit ribosomal RNA
Source: RNAcentral